This 76-nucleotide transfer RNA is filed under the name Myxococcales bacterium. Its description in RNAcentral is "tRNA-Leu". It matches the Rfam family "transfer-messenger RNA", at positions 296 to 374 of the family's 374-position model. From Rfam's summary of the family: Bacterial tmRNA, also known as 10Sa RNA or SsrA, is named for its dual tRNA and mRNA-like properties. Its role is to liberate the mRNA from a stalled ribosome. Lineage: Bacteria; Pseudomonadati; Myxococcota; Myxococcia; Myxococcales. The record is from RNAcentral.
CAAAACGUGCGCUAAGCAUGUAGAAGCCAAGGCCUAGGGCCUUCGGACGGGGGUUCGAUUCCCCCCGCCUCCACCA